CGGAACUGAAUGAGUUUAUAUGUUUUUCUCCGAUGUGAUUCAUCAUUAUUCAUCGGAGGGAGAUGAAUCACUUGGGAUGAGGAAGAGAAGAAAAGAAGUUCCUCAUCCGCGGACUUCUUCCGUUUUUUUUUGUUUUUUUCAUAAGUUUAAAGACUCUAUUUCUCUUCUAUUUUAUUUUGUUAAAUGUAACGAUAAUUAAAUAUAGAAAUUUGAUAUGAUUAUUGAAGUUAAUAAUAAAAAUAAGUAGUCUACUCAUAUCUCGACGGAUUAUACAAAUCAGGAAUCGUUCGUUUGAAUGGGGGAGUCCUCGAGACUCACAAUAUUAAAUGCUGCUCUUUAUCUUCUAAUUGGCUUGUAUUCUUCUGAUAGUGGAACUGUUCCUUAUUAUUGGUGUUUCGUCUGUUGCGCUUGCCAUUGACUAAUAGUUCCUGCCGCGCAUUAAUAUGUAAUAAUCAGCUUUUCGUCUUCCGGUGUCGACAAAGUUCAUUGUUUCUUCUUGUUUUAUAUAUGUAUUAUUUCUUGUUUGUUUCAUUUGCUUCCACAUAUUUGUUUCUCAGUCAUCUCUUCAACAAUAUUUCAAACGUGUCAUUCAGUAUAUUUGCGAGUUUUCACUGUUACGUCUGCGUCAGUCGCCCGGAUAGGGAUUCGCCGCGUUGACCAAGAGCAUCGCACUUGUCUGAGUAUACAACCGGGAAAAAAUUGUUGAAGGAACUAAAGGCUUUUAUAGUUUUCUUAUCAAUUAACGUGCUAUAUGAAUCGUCACGAUGAAUCAUCGUGACUCACCUUCGACGAGGAAUCUCUUUCAUCUUCGGCAGGAAAUUUUUUCAACAACGAAGUCUUCUGUUUGUUCAAAGUUUUAAGAGUCUGUUUCUUUUCAUAAAAUAAUGCCAAAUGUAAAAUUUAUUCAAAAAAUAAGUUUGUUCAUAUCUUGAUUAUUUGGUUUAGAAAAAUUAUGGCUAUGGUGGUCUCCAAGACUUCACAAUUUCAUUAUUGAUAACUUUUUAGUAAAAUUACAAUGGCUGUAGGUGACGAUCUCCGUCCAUUCGGACCAGUUUUAGAGCUGGUACAGGGAUCAAACCUAUACAAUUGUUUACCAAUUAAUAUUUUUCUUCUAAGUUUGUAUGUAGUUUCUUCUUUCCUGAUGUUUAUACAGGUGCACUUUAAUCUUAGCCAAAAGUUCGAGAAGCGAAGGAAACUUGUAAAAAUACAUACAUUUAUUGAUAUUUAAGAAAUUUUUUACAAAUAUCUUACAUAUCCGACAGUCCAAGGAUAACAUUGAGGUGGCUGGCAGACGGUGCAGGUGUUUGCAUUCUGUAUCGUUUUCUUGCUGCCUCCUCUGUCUGACUUAUCUCUUGGUGGAGACGUUUCCGUUUGUCUGAAUCUGUUACCUUCUGGAUUUUGGUUGCAAUUAUAUGCCUGCACGCAAUGGAGUUUACAUCCAUAUGAGGGAGGCAGUUUUUUUCUAGGAUUCUGUUGAUAUAUUGAACAACAUUGAUAAUCAGAGUUCCACUCAGUCAGAAGAAAUGUUUCAGAAUGAGUUUUCGUCAUUUUGACAUUAUCGUGUUAAUAAAGGGGGUAAAGACGCCGCAGUGGAUAAAGAUGUCGCAUAUAAUGUAUUUGUGUAAGUAAACACGGUAGGCAAAUGCUACCUGAUGGCAUUUAUGCAGGAUAACAUGAUUAGUGAUCAGUUAAUAUGAUCCGAGUUCACAUAAAAGGUGUUCAUCUGUUUAUCAUUGUUCUUGAAUCGGAUAAGUUUCAUCGUGCUAUAAUUGUUUAGGUUAUAUAAAAUAAUUUGAGUAACAAAAUAACUGGCGAUAGCAGAGAUGUGUGAUGAUUACUGACGAUUAUUUGAGUUUCACUGUGCUAACCAUUGCAUAUAGCAUUUUUUUGCUACAGGGUCGUUGCUAAUGUGAUAUCAAAUAUAACGUGUGGCAGGGGUGAGAUGUCGCCUUUUGGGCAAAAUAUAUUGAGGGUAAGAUGCCGCAUUCAAAUAUUGCAAAUUUGUUUUGCAACACAGGAUAGCAUUUUCUUGUCAAGUCCAGAUCAUGUUAUAUUAAAUUUGGCAUUUUCGUUCAGUGCCGGUACGAAUAAAAGUUCGACUCUGGCACUAUAACGACGGUUGUAUAGUCCAUGCAUUUUAAAAAACUUGUCAAGAUUUUUCCAAUACAUUUUAAAAGUUCUACUUAAUCUUCUGUAGGUUCUCUUUCCUAACACACAAUCGAGAACUUUUAAUACUUUUUCAUUUAAUAAAAACAUCAAGACACUUAAAUAUGGAACUUCAGUAUUCAUUGGAAACACUGUAGAAUGAUUUACUUCUAUUAAGGAAGAUAUGAUGAUUAAAUAACAAUUAGCAAAAUUAGCAAAUAAGAUUGGCCUCAAAGCUAAAAAGUAACUUCUCGUAAAUCACUUUGGCGGAUUUCUUCGAUAUUUGCUUUCUCUGUCGAUAUCCUUUGUUGGUGGACUUAUUGCAAAAAUGGUAGGGAAAUAAUGACGCAAAAAUGGCUUUAGUUCCCGAGCAAAUGAUUCGAAAAUAUAAACCAGAAUAUAAAGUCUACGACAAUAUCCAUGAGUUAUUAGAAGAUAGUAAUUUAGACGAUGAUGCUAAAGCAAAAUUAUUAAGUGAACUGUUAUCGAGAUAUAAACGCCUAACGCCGCUAGCCGGUUCAUGCUCCGAAAGAACCGGUGCCUGUGACUGUCGUUCCUAAAGACUGACAUUAAUCCCCUUACAGAGACAGACAUCAGUUCGCCUCCCUAUCUGCGGAAAUUCCGGCUAGCAAGACUUUGGACGAUUUAAUUUUAUCAUCAGUUCCUCAACUUUAGCAAAAAUUAAUC
RNAcentral lists this long non-coding RNA (2832 nucleotides) under Androctonus crassicauda. The record is from RNAcentral. Lineage: Eukaryota; Metazoa; Arthropoda; Arachnida; Scorpiones; Buthidae.